AAUAGAUACCCUGGUAGUCCACGCCGUAAACGAUGAGUGCUAAGUGUUAGAGGGUUUCCGCCCUUUAGUGCUGCAGCUAACGCAUUAAGCACUCCGCCUGGGGAGUACGGUCGCAAGACUGAAACUCAAAGGAAUUGACGGGGGCCCGCACAAGCGGUGGAGCAUGUGGUUUAAUUCGAAGCAACGCGAAGAACCUUACCAGGUCUUGACAUCCCACUGACCGGUAUAGAGAUAUACCUUUCCCUUCGGGGACAGUGGUGACAGGUGGUGCAUGGUUGUCGUCAGCUCGUGUCGUGAGAUGUUGGGUUAAGUCCCGCAACGAGCGCAACCCUUGAUCUUAGUUGCCAGCAUUUAGGUUGGGCACUCUAAGGUGACUGCCGGUGACAAACCGGAGGAAGGUGGGGAUGACGUCAAAUCAUCAUGCCCCUUAUGACCUGGGCUACACACGUGCUACAAUGGAUGGUACAAAGGGCUGCAAGACUGCGAAGUCAAGCCAAUCCCAUAAAACCAUUCUCAGUUCGGAUUGCAGG
RNAcentral lists this ribosomal RNA (530 nucleotides) under uncultured bacterium. Its description in RNAcentral is "bacterial SSU rRNA". It matches the Rfam family "Bacterial small subunit ribosomal RNA", at positions 777 to 1304 of the family's 1533-position model. The record is from RNAcentral.